UAAUAAAUAGAUUCGAACUUGCAAUACAAGAGUUUAGCACUAUGUAGGUCUCCUGCCCCUACGCGUUUUGUCCGAUGCAGGACUUCUUCAGGGAUAUUCAGAUGUGUAUGGGAAUCCUCGCCUCGAUUCGGCUUAAAAGUCCUCCUUGGCACCAUACUGAAAUGCCUUCAGCCAAUCGGAAACGGUGGCUUGUUGUAUAUCACCUGCAAUUAAUGAUGUAGCUUCCGCAUCUCAAGUCUUGGUCUCGUGUUGCGUUCCAAUUAUGUAUUUACAGUUUCACCGGGAGCGCUCUAUGAACCAGAAUUCCUUUUUCUUGCAGUCUAUGAGUCCAGCAACAUAAAUUAAUAAGAGAGGAGCCUUAUUGUAUAAAUCCCUGGGUAGUAGUAGGGGGUAACCCUAAUAUUGAUAAAAGUAUAACUUAAAAUGAGGUCAUUGCUGUUUCAGAUAAGGGGUGUUAUAAUUAAUUUUCCUAACAUCUUUAAUUCUACACUCAUACUUGUAACCUAUCUUUAUUUAUCGCUCUCAGAAGGUGGAUAAAAUUGUACUCAAUCUAUCCAGAUCUUUACACAUCUUAAUCCUUAAAUAAGUGAACACCUAAGGGUGAAGGAAAUUAUAUUCUUCUUGGAAAUUAUUUAUAUCGUUGGGUGCAAUAUUAUUACAUAACGCUAUUAAAUGUUGACCUGUUUAACUUGUAAUUAGAUCCUACUGUAUACUUCUGUUUCUCUCAUAACUUGGGAGAGGGAAGUUGCAGGAUCAACAACAUAUAGGAGAAUAUCAUCCACAUAAUAAUUGCACGUUGCCCCAGGGGAUCGGAUAUCCCUCAACCAAUUUUUGUUCCCUUAAUUUGGCU
This is a non-coding RNA of Pelobates cultripes (western spadefoot toad), 850 nucleotides long. NCBI's taxonomy places the organism in Eukaryota, Metazoa, Chordata, Amphibia, Anura, Pelobatidae. The record is from the annotation of a GenBank genome assembly.